Molecule: small RNA, 1276 nt
Filed under: Pongo abelii (Sumatran orangutan)
Lineage: Eukaryota; Metazoa; Chordata; Mammalia; Primates; Hominidae
Description: retained intron
Source: RNAcentral
GGGCCCUGGGCUUCUACCCUGCGGAGAUCACACUGACCUGGCAGCGGGAUGGGGAGGACCAAACUCAGGACACCGAGCUUGUGGAGACCAGGCCAGCAGGAGAUGGAACCUUCCAGAAGUGGGCAGCGGUGGUGGUGCCUUCUGGAGAAGAGCAGAGAUACACAUGCCAUGUGCAGCACGAGGGGCUGCCGGAGCCCCUCACCCUGAGAUGGGAGCCAUCUUCCCAAUCUACCAUCCCCAUCGUGGGCAUUGUUGCUGGCCUGGCUGUCCUAGCAGUUGUGGUCAUUGGAAUUGUGGUCCCCGCUGUGAUGUGUAGGAGGAAGAGCUCAGGUAGGGAAGGGGUGAGGGGUGGGGUCUGGGUUUUCUUGUCCCACUGGGGGUUUCAAGCCCCAGGUAGAAGUGUUCCCUGCCUCAUUACUGGGAAGCAGCAUCCACACAGCGGCUAAUCCAGCCUGGGACCCUGUGUGCCAGCACUUACUCUUUUGUGCAGCACAUGUGACAAUGAAGGACGGAUGUAUCACCUUGAUGAUUACGGUGUUGGGGUCCUGAUUCCAGCAUUCAUGAGUCAGGGGAAGGUCCCUGCUAAGGACAGACCUUAGGAGGGCAGUUGGUCCAGGACACACACCUGCUUUCCUCAUGUUUCCUGAUCCUGUCCUGGGUCUGUAGUCAUAGUUCUGGAAAUUUCUCUUGGGUCCCAGACUAGGGGGUUCCUCUAAGAUCUCAUGGCCCUGCUUCCUCCCAGUCCCCUCACAGGACAUUUUCUUCCCACAGGUGAGAAAGGAGGGAGCUACUCUCAGGCUGCAUGCAGCGACACUACCCAGGGCUCUGAUGUGUCUCUCACGGCUUGAAAAGCCUGAGACAGCUGCCUGUGUGGGACUGAGAUGCAGGAUUUCUUCACGCCUCCCUUUUGUGACUUCAAGAGACUCUGGCAUCUCUUUCUGCGAAGGCAUCUGAAUGUGUCUGCAUCCCUGUUAGCAUAAUGUGAGGAGGUGAAGAGACAGCCCACUCCCGUGUCCACCGUGACCCCUGUUCCCAUGCUGACCUGUGUUUCCUCCCCAGUCAUCCUUCCUGUUCCAGAGAGAUGGGGCUGGAUGUCUCCAUCUCUGUCUCAACUUCAUGUGCACUGAGCUGCAACUUCUUACUUCCCUACUGAAAAUAUGAAUCUGAAUAUAAAUUUGUUUUCUCAAAUAUUUGCUAUGAGAGGUUGACGGGUUAAUUAAAUAAGUCAAUUCCUAGAAUUUCAGAGAGCAAUUAAAGACCUGAGAACCUUCCAGAA